GACGAACGCUGGCGGCGUGCCUAAUACAUGCAAGUCGAACGCUUCUUUCCUCCCGAGUGCUUGCACUCAAUUGGAAAGAGGAGUGGCGGACGGGUGAGUAACACGUGGGUAACCUACCCAUCAGAGGGGGAUAACACUUGGAAACAGGUGCUAAUACCGCAUAACAGUUUUUCCCCAUUGCAUUAGGGUGAAAGGGGCCUUCGGGGGUUGGCUGUGGAUGGACCCGCGGUGCAUUAGCUAGUUGGUGAGGUAACGGCUCACCAAGGCCACGAUGCAUAGCCGACCUGAGAGGGUGAUCGGCCACACUGGGACUGAGACACGGCCCAGACUCCUACGGGAGGCAGCAGUAGGGAAUCUUCGGCAAUGGACGAAAGUCUGACCGAGCAACGCCGCGUGAGUGAAGAAGGUUUUCGGAUCGUAAAACUCUGUUGUUAGAGAAGAACAAGGACGUUAGUAACUGAACGUCCCCUGACGGUAUCUAACCAGAAAGCCACGGCUAACUACGUG
This 507-nucleotide ribosomal RNA is filed under the name uncultured bacterium. RNAcentral's name for it is "partial 16S ribosomal RNA". It matches the Rfam family "Bacterial small subunit ribosomal RNA", at positions 28 to 507 of the family's 1533-position model. The record is from RNAcentral.